CAAGUCGAGCGGAACGAGUUAUCUGAACCUUCGGGGAACGAUAACGGCGUCGAGCGGCGGACGGGUGAGUAAUGCCUAGGAAAUUGCCCUGAUGUGGGGGAUAACCAUUGGAAACGAUGGCUAAUACCGCAUGAUGCCUACGGGCCAAAGAGGGGGACCUUCGGGCCUCUCGCGUCAGGAUAUGCCUAGGUGGGAUUAGCUAGUUGGUGAGGUAAGGGCUCACCAAGGCGACGAUCCCUAGCUGGUCUGAGAGGAUGAUCAGCCACACUGGAACUGAGACACGGUCCAGACUCCUACGGGAGGCAGCAGUGGGGAAUAUUGCACAAUGGGCGCAAGCCUGAUGCAGCCAUGCCGCGUGUGUGAAGAAGGCCUUCGGGUUGUAAAGCACUUUCAGUCGUGAGGAAGGUGGUGUAGUUAAUAGCUGCAUCAUUUGACGUUAGCGACAGAAGAAGCACCGGCUAACUCCGUGCCAGCAGC
RNAcentral lists this ribosomal RNA (477 nucleotides) under bacterium 1611-S1-05-3. Its description in RNAcentral is "bacterial SSU rRNA". It matches the Rfam family "Bacterial small subunit ribosomal RNA", at positions 58 to 515 of the family's 1533-position model. The record is from RNAcentral.